Molecule: ribosomal RNA, 250 nt
Filed under: uncultured prokaryote
Description: partial 16S rRNA
Rfam family: Bacterial small subunit ribosomal RNA
Source: RNAcentral
ACGGAGGGAGCGAGCGUUGUUCGGAUUUAUUGGGCGUAAAGGGCAUGUAGGCGGUUUUGCAGGUCGGGGUUAAAAGCCCUUCCUUUAAGGAGGGAACGGCUUCGAAACUGCAAGGCUUGAGUUCAGGGGAAGAAAGCGGAAUUCUCGGUGUAGCGGUGAAAUGCGUAGAUAUCGAGAAGAACACCAGCGGCGUAAGCGGCUUUCUAUCCUGAAACUGACGCUGAGAUGCGAAAGCCAGGGGAGCGAACGG